This 669-nucleotide ribosomal RNA is filed under the name uncultured organism. RNAcentral's name for it is "bacterial SSU rRNA". It matches the Rfam family "Bacterial small subunit ribosomal RNA", at positions 748 to 1429 of the family's 1533-position model. The record is from RNAcentral.
UGAAGGCGAAAGCUAGGGGAGCGAACGGGAUUAGAAACCCCGGUAGUCCUAGCCGUAAACGAUGGAUGCUAGGUAUGGGGGGUGUAGAUUCCCUCCGUGCCGCAGUUAACGCGUUAAGCAUCCCGCCUGGGGAGUACGGCCGCAAGGCUAAAACUCAAACGAAUUGACGGGGGCCCGCACAAGCAGCGGAGCGUGUGGUUUAAUUCGAUGCUACACGAAGAACCUUACCUGGGCUUGACAUACAGGUAGUAGUGAAGUGAAAGCGGAUCGAUCCUUCGGGGAGCCUGUACAGGUGCUGCAUGGCUGUCGUCAGCUCGUGCCGUGAGGUGUCGGGUUAAGUCCCGUAACGAGCGCAACCCUUGCUCUUAGUUAUACGUGUCUAAGAGGACUGCCGGCGGUAAGCCGGAGGAAGGUGGGGAUGACGUCAAGUCAGCAUGGCCUUUAUGUCCAGGGCUACACACACGCUACAAUGGCCGGUACAAUGGGUAGCUAAACCGCGAGGUGGAGCCAAUCCUGUAAAGCCGGUCUCAGUUCGAAUUGCAGGCUGCAACUCGCCUGCAUGAAGUCGGAGUUGCUAGUAAUCGCAGGUCAGCAAUACUGCGGUGAAUACGUUCCCGGGCCUUGACACACCGCCCGUCACGUCAUGGAAGCUGGCAACACCUGAAGCCG